UCUUAGAAAAAAGGGUUCAUGGGGGUGCUAUAUAGAACCAUGGGGGUCUUAGCCAAGGAGAUAGAACCCUUUUGCCUAAAAAGGGUGCUAUUUCAUACACGUGAGGGUUAUUUGAACUUCAACGACCGUUUAUGGAACCUUUCUGAAGACGUUCAUUCUUCACUGGAUUUAACGGUAAGUGACACACAACCCUAAUCCCUUUCAUUUCAAUCAUAAUCAUUACCCGUGUUGUCUGCAAAUCAAAGCCAGAAAUUAUGCCUCUUAAGUAAAAAACAAGGGGCGUUCUUCAUAAACGUCAGUGGGCGUUAACCGGUCAGCUGUUAGCUAGAAUCUAUAAAUUCGUUGUCUCUGAAUGAUUUUAGCAGCAGCUAGCUAUCCUAUCCUGUCACCCUACUGGAUCCAUCAUUAAGAUUAGUUUUCUACUUCCUUGUCAGGCUGACAAUAAAAUCAACUAUCGAUUAUAUGAUUUUGAGCUUGUAUCCACUAUUGUUGUUCAAUGAUAUUCACUGUCCUCCCGGCUCCCGAUAAGUUAAGCUAACUAAAUUUAGCGUGCUAGUUGCCAUUAACUAGCUAGCUACAAACGUCAGCCAGCAAUGCAAAAUCAGAAUGAUAUGGCAGUAACUACUUCAUUACCAGGCUAUCUAGUUAAAUUACAGGAAACCAGCCAUCAAGUACAUAUAAUUGAGUUGUAUCAUUGUCAACACAAGUUUUUUGUUUUAUUUUUCGUUUUAAAGAACAGGAAAUUGAUGGAGACUACUGGGCCUCACUGAACGGAUGGUUGAAGAACUAUCCCCGUCUAUGAAAUUGCAGGUGAUGUUUGUGAAGGAACUGAACUAGCUCCUAGAACAACAUGAAGUUGGAUUGCCCCUGGACCAUGCUGACAGCAUAGGCAAAAGACUGUCCUGUCUAGACUGUCCUGUGCCAGUGUUGAGAAUGAUGCUUCGACAAAGACCAUGCUCGUCUUCUUUGACCCAACCAUGGCCAACAGUAUUCAGUCUGCCCACCUUCCCCCCAGAAAAAGUACCCAAACCAUAAAAAAUAUACAGAUGUUCUGGGAUCUCAUCACCAGAUUUCCGUUUCUUGGAGAACACAGCUCCUCUGAGAGAAAAUAAGUGCAGAUUGGAAAACGCAGUCCAGAUGCUUUCUGGGAAUUAUCCAACACAAGAGGAACCACCCAACUCAUUUCCGGUCAUCAGCCUCCACGAUGCAGACUCCCCUCCUUGCCAGGAGAGCAUCCAUUAUGAUGGAUGGCGUCACCAUUAUA
This is a long non-coding RNA of Clupea harengus (Atlantic herring), 1264 nucleotides long. RefSeq lists it as uncharacterized. The transcript has 6 exons. NCBI's taxonomy places the organism in Eukaryota, Metazoa, Chordata, Actinopteri, Clupeiformes, Clupeidae. The record is from RefSeq and is a predicted model, not a curated record.